UUCCAGACUCCUACGGGAGGCAGCAGUGGGGAAUAUUGCACAAUGGGGGAAACCCUGAUGCAGCGACGCCGCGUGAGUGAAGAAGUAUCUCGGUACGUAAAGCUCUAUCAGCAGGGAAGAAAAUGACGGUACCUGACUAAGAAGCCCCGGCUAACUACGUGCCAGCAGCCGCGGUAAUACGUAGGGGGCAAGCGUUAUCCGGAUUUACUGGGUGUAAAGGGAGCGUAGACGGCAGCGCAAGUCUGGAGUGAAAGCCCGGGGCCCAACCCCGGAACUGCUCUGGAAACUGUGCGGCUAGAGUACUGGAGGGGCAGGCGGAAUUCCUAGUGUAGCGGUGAAAUGCGUAGAUAUUAGGAGGAACACCAGUGGCGAAGGCGGCCUGCUGGACAGUAACUGACGUUGAGGCUCGAAAGCGUGGGGAGCAAACAGGAUUAGAUACCCGGGUAA
RNAcentral lists this ribosomal RNA (447 nucleotides) under uncultured bacterium. Its description in RNAcentral is "bacterial SSU rRNA". It matches the Rfam family "Bacterial small subunit ribosomal RNA", at positions 329 to 793 of the family's 1533-position model. The record is from RNAcentral.